This 325-nucleotide small nuclear RNA is filed under the name Camelus bactrianus (Bactrian camel). RNAcentral describes it as "7SK RNA". It matches the Rfam family "7SK RNA". Rfam says of the family: 7SK was discovered as an abundant small nuclear RNA in the mid-70s but a possible function has only recently been suggested. Two independent studies have found that 7SK RNA binds the CDK9/cyclin T complex (known as elongation factor P-TEFb). P-TEFb activates transcription by phosphorylating the C-terminal domain of RNA polymerase II. Lineage: Eukaryota; Metazoa; Chordata; Mammalia; Artiodactyla; Camelidae. The record is from Rfam by way of RNAcentral. RNAcentral also lists the same sequence under 1 other name.
GGAUAUGAGGGUGAUCUUGCUGCGACAUCUGUCACCCCACUGAUCGCCAGGGUUGAUUCGGCUGAUCUGGCUGGCUAGGUGGGUGUCCCCUUCCUCCCUCACCGCUCCAUGUGCGUCCUUCCCGAAGCUGCACGCUCGGUCAAAGAGGACGACCAUCCCUGAUAGAGGAGGAUCAUUCUUCUCGGUCAAGGGUAUAUGGGUAGUUGCGCUCCCCUGCUAGAACCUCCAAACAAGUUCUCAAGGUCCAAAAAACCCACCCAAUUAAAAAAUGAGCAAAGGACUUGAAGAGAUAUUUCUCCACAGAAGAUACACACAUGAGCAACAU